UAACGCGUGGGUAGCCUGCCUUGUACAGGGGGAUAACAGUUGGAAACGGCUGCUAAUACCGCAUAAGCGCACAGCAUCGCAUGAUGCAGUGUGAAAAACUCCGGUGGUAUAAGAUGGACCCGCGUUGGAUUAGCUAGUUGGUGAGGUAACGGCCCACCAAGGCGACGAUCCAUAGCCGACCUGAGAGGGUGACCGGCCACAUUGGGACUGAGACACGGCCCAA
Molecule: ribosomal RNA, 223 nt
Filed under: uncultured bacterium
Lineage: Bacteria
Description: partial 16S ribosomal RNA
Rfam family: Bacterial small subunit ribosomal RNA
Source: RNAcentral